Myodes glareolus (Bank vole) is the source of this 2939-nucleotide non-coding RNA. NCBI's taxonomy places the organism in Eukaryota, Metazoa, Chordata, Mammalia, Rodentia, Cricetidae. The record is from RefSeq and is a predicted model, not a curated record.
UGUAUAUUUACAUUUUCAGUCCAGAGCAUUACAUUCUGCAGUGAUCUUGAGCCUACACACAAAGAGGACUGUGACAACUUCCUAGGAGCUCCUUCUGCUCGUCUGGGAUGUCAUUCAUAGCAUCUUCAGACAGCUGGUCUGCAGAGAGUGUGCCCUCUGAAGAAACUGUAUCUUCCAAGUCUGGAUACUGGCCUGCAUCAUCAGGAGGCCCCUGCUCUUCUGGGAUAUCAAUCAUGAUGUCUUCACACAGCUUGGAUGCAACAGCUGCAUUCUGGGGAGUAAUCGUGUGUUCAAAGCCCUGAUACUGGCCCAGGGGUGAGGAUGACUUUGACCCUGGAGAACCUGCAUCGCGUGGUGAUGAGGAAAGCUGACUUGUGUGUUCAGGAUGCUCUGAGUCUUCGGGAAAACACUUUCUUGGGGGGAUAACCUCGCAUUGUUCUCCCGACACGUCUUACUUGCUCAGAAAUAUCAUCUCUGAUAUCUGACACAUCCCACAUGGCGAGGAAGGAGUCAAAGCGCGAGCCUUCCCCUGCCUCUUUCACGUAGGGUUUAUAGGAGAACGAAUAAUGAUGGGCAGUUGCCGGGAAGGAGAUUUCGAUGCAGAUGAUAAAAUCCUGCGGGCCUGCAGCCACAGCUUCGGCACUUUGCCAUUCCCACGUGUGCUUUUCUGAAAUAAUGCCAACCUUCACUAACAGAGCUAUAAACACGGCUUGCCAGAAUGAGACAAAGACUAUCAGUUUGACACAAAAAUUUGCCAACAGGUUGUAUAGGGCUGAGCUCUUCUCUCAGCACUUUGUAAAACAGCAGGAGGCAAACAUGGCAAACAGUUGUGACAGGUUAUUUAAUAUAACCAAGUAAGUCCAAGCAUUGAAGAAACUAAAGUUCCCUUCAUCGUAGACACCAACAAUCUCACCAACGCCGUCACAGUGGUGAUCGGUCUGAUCACAGUGUAUUGCAAUACUCCUGCACCGAAAAAGCUGCAUUUCUCCCAUAGCCCAGGGUGGACAGCAGCACAGAGGAGGAGAAGCUGUUGCUGAUCUUUAGCUUCCAGGUGCAGCAUCACAUUGUAAUGCACUAAGUGCUGCAGAAUCCCCCAAAGGGACACAGGGAUGGUCAACAGCAGAAAGAUACCAGCGAUAAACCAUGCUUUAGUGUGUAUUCCAACCUUUAGUUUUUGAAGUUCCCAAACACACAAGGGAACCAAGAUGAGGAUGGAAAUUAUGUAAAUAAGUACGAGCAGGGGUCGGAUCCAUCGCCUCCAGUUGUUUCGAUUACAGACGCAGGGCAUUGUCAUAAACAAUUUAGUUUUGAACAGCUCAAAAAACGAACCAAGCCGAGAUUUUGGUUCGUUCUCUUCUUGGUUUUGUUUUUGGUUUUUUUGUUUUGUUUGUUUGUUUGUUUUUCUUCCUCUGGCUCUUUACAGGGGAAAAUUCAGCAGCAGCUGGCACCACGUCCUUGAGUCGCGCUGUGGUUGUGGCUCGCUCGGGAUGCUCGCAGGUGCGGGCUGCAUCCUCGCCCGCUAACCGGCAUGCACCCGGGCACAGUCGCCGCUCACCUGGAGGUCGCCUAAAGUCUCAGCUGUACCAUUGCACCAUGGCCCCGAGGACAGCCGGGGUGACCUGGGGGGUCCCACCUGCAGCUGGAAGCCAGCGACUCCCUCCCCGCUGCUCUCAAGUCUGAGCCGUCUUACCAACCUUCUUUCAUCUUCUACACUGAAAUGAUUGGCAAGUUGCCGUGGGUGCACCAGCAAUGGACAGAUUUCCAAAUAAACUACAAGACGUACCUUCAUUUAUGAAGUAGACAUUAAAUCUUUCACCUGUGUUGUGCCUGGGGCGUGUCCGGGGCGUGUCUGGGGUGUAUCCGAUCUGUUUUUCAGGCUCUGUUUCAGCUCAUUGGACCCACGCCUGGGUUACGCUAAUAGUCUUCUGACUAGUAUCUGCUUUAAUGUCUUUCUGUUAUAAUUUGAUGUCACCAAAUCCAUGUUCUUUAUGGAAAACUUUAUUCACUUAUCAGGGCCACAGGAGGAUCAUUGUUCAUCUACGGCUGUCACGUAGGUAGUCAGAGCAGCCCUAUCUCAUCCAGCCCUAUCGCCUACUGACCUCCUUUUGGUCCAGGAUGGUUAGCCUUGGCUCUGCGCUAUCACCCUUGCUUCUCCCACUCCCUCACAUUGGUAACCUCCCUUUUUGAAAGCGUUUUUCAGUUCCAAAGUCUUCCUGUUCUAAUGCCUACUUGGUGACUCUGGACAACCGAGAGCACUCUGAUCGCUAGCGACACACCGCAGCUCUCCGAUGGCACCUUUAGCUCUGACUCCACCAGUGUCCCAGCAUCUCUUUUCUUCCCCACCAGUCUGAGACCUCCUAGUCUGGAGCCAUAUCCUAUUCUCCAUGGGCUUUGCCUUGAUCAUUAUCCUAUCCCCCAAACUCUACCACGACAGAGGGGGCACACCAAAUAAUGUGUAACAACUGUGGAGCACAGAUCUGUCCUUGAAAAGCCAGGUCUACAUAGCUUUUGUAGUGACUCACUGCCUUUUGGCUGACUUCACAGUGGGUGAGCCCUGAGCUAGAGAUAAAGACUACCUCGAUGAGAGUCCCCCAAGACUUUGUGUCUGGCUUGUAUGGCAUUACACUUUCAUAGCAUGCAGUAAAGGAAUGCCAGGAAGUGACCGCUAGUCUUCGUGGAUAGUCAGAGAAUCUGGCAAAUUCUGAUGCUGCUUUCCCAGCAGCCAUUUCAAAGAGGAUUGGUGGCUGUGGACUAAGAGGAAAUGAAAAGCUAUGGAUUCCUUCAAAAUUAAUAAAGAUCAGAAUUGAUCAGGGGAGACUUCCUGAGGAUCUUGGCUGCAGGCAUGAGGAAAAAAACCUACAAAACAGAUGACUGCUGUGGGAUAAUGCUCUUGUACCCUGUAAACAUUUGUCACGUGUAUUGACUUGAUAAAAUGCUGA